CAUGGGGGAAUAUUGCACAAUGGGCGCAAGCCUGAUGCAGCCAUGCCGCGUGUAUGUAAGAAGGCCUUCGGGUUGUAAAGUACUUUCAGCAGUGAGGAAGGUGGGUAUGUUAAUAGCAUACUCAUUUGACGUUAGCUGCAGAAGAAGCACCGGCUAACUCCGUGCCAGCAGCCGCGGUAAUACGGAGGGUGCGAGCGUUAAUCGGAAUUACUGGGCGUAAAGCGCAUGCAGGUGGUUUGUUAAGUCAGAUGUGAAAGCCCGGGGCUCAACCUCGGAAUUGCAUUUGAAAACUGGCAAACUAGAGUACUGUAGAGGGGGUAGAAUUUCAGGUGUAGCGGUGAAAUGCGUAGAGAUCUGAAGGAAUACCGGUGGCGAAGGCGGCCCCCUGGACAGAUACUGACACUCAGAUGCGAAAGCGUGGGGAGCAAACAGGAUUAGAUACCCUGGUAG
This 450-nucleotide ribosomal RNA is filed under the name uncultured bacterium. Its description in RNAcentral is "bacterial SSU rRNA". It matches the Rfam family "Bacterial small subunit ribosomal RNA", at positions 352 to 793 of the family's 1533-position model. The record is from RNAcentral.